This 85-nucleotide non-coding RNA is filed under the name Blastomyces gilchristii SLH14081. Lineage: Eukaryota; Fungi; Ascomycota; Eurotiomycetes; Onygenales; Ajellomycetaceae. The record is from RNAcentral.
CACCAGCGAGGUUCACACUUCUACGCAGUGCUGGUGACCAGUAUCCAAUUCCAGCUUAUGACGGAUUGGAGAAGCCAAGAUGAAC